GAUGAACGCUAGCGGAAGGCUUAAUACAUGCAAGUCGAGGGGUAACGAUGGACUUCGGUCCAGGCGACGACCGGCGCACGGGUGAGUAACGCGUACACGACCUACCUUUAACUGGAGGAUAGCCCUGGGAAACUGGGAUUAAUACUGCAUAAUAUUGCUGAAAUAAGAGUUUGGCAAUCAAAGCUCAGGCGGUUAAAGAUGGGUGUGCGUUCCAUUAGCUAGUUGGUAAGGUAACGGCUUACCAAGGCGACGAUGGGUAGGGGGCGUGAGAGCGUGGUCCCCCACACGGGUACUGAGACACGGACCCGACUCCUACGGGAGGCAGCAGUAAGGAAUAUUGGACAAUGGGCGCAAGCCUGAUCCAGCCAUUCCGCGUGCAGGAUGACGGCCCUAUGGGUUGUAAACUGCUUUUAGAUGGGAAGAAACCCCUAGAUUUAUCUGGGGCUGACGGUACCAUCAGAAUAAGCACCGGCUAACUCCG
This 481-nucleotide ribosomal RNA is filed under the name uncultured Saprospiraceae bacterium. RNAcentral describes it as "bacterial SSU rRNA". It matches the Rfam family "Bacterial small subunit ribosomal RNA", at positions 28 to 505 of the family's 1533-position model. Lineage: Bacteria; Pseudomonadati; Bacteroidota; Saprospiria; Saprospirales; Saprospiraceae. The record is from RNAcentral.